UGUGGUGUCGUUACAAUGACAGAGCGAGACGGGCUGCGCAGGGAAAAGCGAGCUGGGCUCUGCUCCGUGGUGACUCCCCCACUCCAGUGGGUCUUGCAGGAGUGGUUUUGACUUGCCUGCCCCAUGGAAGGGAUGUCAUGUCACAGUGAGUGACUUCCAUAAUAGCUACUGGUCUUGGCUGUCUUGGCAGAGUGGCCAAAGACUGAAGGCACCACGGGGAAUGAGCUCAGGGCUUGCUCUAGAAGAGACCUCUUUAGUUAAGGAGUUAAGCUGGUCACUCUGAACUGUCCUCUCCAGGAAGCAGCCUCUGACAUGGCAAAUAACACACCAGAAAAUUGAAAUGAAGGCAGAGAGUUUCAAACCACCUUGAGAACAGCUUCCAAGGACCACCUUAGCCUGAGCCACAGUGAGCAGCAGGAGAAGUGGGAUCCUAUAACCUCUUAGGUGCUUUGGACAAAUUACCUCUAAAUGUUAAAGCCCAAUUACGUAAGUGCUUAAG
Molecule: long non-coding RNA, 499 nt
Organism: Pseudopipra pipra
Lineage: Eukaryota; Metazoa; Chordata; Aves; Passeriformes; Pipridae
Exons: 3
Source: RefSeq, a predicted model, not a curated record